AGAGCGAACGCUGGCGGCAGGCUUAACACAUGCAAGUCGAGCGGAUGUAGCAAUACAUCAGCAGCAGACGGGUGAGUAACACGUGGGAACGUACCUUUUGGUUCGGAACAACACAGGGAAACUUGUGCUAAUACCGGAUAAGCCCUUACGGGGAAAGAUUUAUCGCCGAAAGAUCGGCCCGCGUCUGAUUAGCUAGUUGGUGAGGUAAUGGCUCACCAAGGCGACGAUCAGUAGCUGGUCUGAGAGGAUGAUCAGCCACAUUGGGACUGAGACACGGCCCAAACUCCUACGGGAGGCAGCAGUGGGGAAUAUUGGACAAUGGGCGCAAGCCUGAUCCAGCCAUGCCGCGUGAGUGAUGAAGGCCCUAGGGUUGUAAAGCUCUUUUGUGCGGGAAGAUAAUGACGGUACCGCAAGAAUAAGCCCCGGCUAACUUCGUGCCAGCAGCCGC
RNAcentral lists this ribosomal RNA (448 nucleotides) under uncultured bacterium. Its description in RNAcentral is "SSU rRNA". It matches the Rfam family "Bacterial small subunit ribosomal RNA", at positions 26 to 518 of the family's 1533-position model. The record is from RNAcentral.